RNAcentral lists this ribosomal RNA (97 nucleotides) under uncultured bacterium. Its description in RNAcentral is "partial 16S ribosomal RNA". It matches the Rfam family "Bacterial small subunit ribosomal RNA", at positions 1388 to 1482 of the family's 1533-position model. The record is from RNAcentral.
CACCGCCCGUCACAUCACGAAAGUGGGUUGUACUAGAAGUUCGCGCGCUAACCCGCAAGGGAGGCAGCGGCCCAAGGUAUGACUCAUGAUUGGGGUG